This 1077-nucleotide long non-coding RNA is filed under the name Carassius auratus (goldfish). RNAcentral describes it as "lncRNA (ENSCARG00000027033.1)". Lineage: Eukaryota; Metazoa; Chordata; Actinopteri; Cypriniformes; Cyprinidae. The record is from RNAcentral.
UCUGGUUCGGGUCUGAUACACCACAUAAACUUUUUUUAAGGUCAUCUAGAGCCAUUGUUCUGAACACUUUGAUUGAUCCUCUGUUCUGUAUUACUAUUAAUACUGAUUAAAACAUUAUUAUUAAUAUUAAUACAGAUAUUAAUACUGCAGGACCCAGUGAUCUGGUUUAUGCAAAGAUUGAUUUACAGGACAAAAAGAAGACCAAGGACAAAGGUAGACACACAACAAAACUGCAUUUGGACACAAUGAUUCAUCACAUUUAACUUCUCAUAGAAUCAUUUUAUCAGAAAAAUAAACCCCUUUAACCCUUUCAUAAAGACUGAUAGAAACAAUUCACUUGUUUAGAAACACAGAAGCACGCAACAUUCACAUCUGUCUGUUUCACUGGUUCUGCUUUCCUGAAUUUAGAUCAGAAAUAAAACCGGUUUAUAAUCAGAGUCAGAUAACCAACCUCUUUCAUGACAGCUGCUGGACUUACUAAUAUUCUGAUUACAGAUCAUGUGAAAAUGUUUAAACUAAUAAUAUAGCCUAAAUAUUUUACAGAACCUGCUAAUAAAAUAAAAUAAUUAUGAUUGAUUAUAAUUAUUUUAUUGUUAUUGAUCAUUUGUGUUCUUCAGGUGCUGAUGCUGGUGAUGAAACUUGUGCUCAACCUUUGAGGAAGAAGAAUAAAACAUGUCUCUGAGUGCAGUGAAGACAACAGACGGCUAAAAGAGAUUCACAGCAGCAGACACAGUGACGCUUGCAUUGCUUCAGAAAUGAAUCUGAGUGAACUGCUUACACACGUGCUUGAUUCAGUUACUUUAGAGAUACAUAUGCACUGUUAUCUCUAAACAUAUUACGUAAGCUAAACAAAUGGUUCUGUAGCAUAUUAAUUAAGAUCCAGCGCCAAAUGCCAGCUCUCAUCAGAAAAUAUCAGUUUUGUCUGGUAACUGUAACGCCACACACGCAGAGGAAGACCUCACCUGAGUACUGACUGUUCAUCGCUCCCUCUGCGUCUACAAUCGUUUCAUGUUUGGCACUAUUUAACACUGUCUAAAACUGCCUGUUUUCAUGUUCUUCUUGGAUUGCCCCUUUAGA